Molecule: ribosomal RNA, 778 nt
Filed under: uncultured bacterium
Lineage: Bacteria
Description: bacterial SSU rRNA
Rfam family: Bacterial small subunit ribosomal RNA
Source: RNAcentral
GAGUUUGAUCCUGGCUCAGAGCGAACGCUGGCGGCACGCCUAACACAUGCAAGUCGAGCGAGAAAGUGACUUCGGUUGCGAGUAAAGCGGCGAACGGGUGAGUACAACGUGGAUAAUCUACCCUGAGGUUCGGGACAACCCCGAGAAAUCGGGGCUAAUACCGGAUAAGACCACAGUAUCCAAGGAUACAGCGGUAAAAGAUUUAUCGCCUCUGGAUGAGUCCACGCCCCAUCAGGUAGUUGGUAAGGUAAAGGCUUACCAAGCCUAAGACGGGUAGCCGGCCUUAGCGGGUGAACGGCCACAUGGGGACUGAGACACGGCCCUGACUCCUACGGGAGGCAGCAGUGGGGAAUAUUGGGCAAUGGGCGAAAGCCUGACCCAGCGAUGCCGCGUGAGGGAUGAAGGCCUUCGGGUUGUAAACCUCUGUCAGGAGGGACGAUGGGACUUUGUCUUGACGGUACCUCCAGAGGAAGCCCCGGCUAACUCCGUGCCAGCAGCCGCGGUAAUACGGAGGGGGCAAGCGUUGCUCGGAAUUACUGGGCGUAAAGGGUGCGCAGGCGGCGAUACAAGUCUGGCGUGAAAGCUUCUGGCUUAACUGGGAGAGGACGUUGGAAACUGUAUGGCUAGAGUGAAUGAGAGGGGGGCGGAAAUCCCGGUGUAGUGGUGGAAUGCGUAGAUAUCGGGAAGAACACCAGAGGCGAAGGCGGCCUCCUGGCAUUUUACUGACGCUGAGGCACGAAAGCGUGGGUAGCGAACGGGAUUAGAUACCCUGGUAGUC